ACUGCUGUCGUUCCUGGGGGGGUGCGGGGUGCUCUCCGCGCAGCAGCACGCCUACCAGCCGGGCCGCAGCACG
This 73-nucleotide microRNA precursor is filed under the name Plutella xylostella (diamondback moth). Its description in RNAcentral is "microRNA pxy-mir-8499c precursor". Lineage: Eukaryota; Metazoa; Arthropoda; Insecta; Lepidoptera; Plutellidae. The record is from miRBase by way of RNAcentral.